GACCAUGGCAGGUGUACUCGUACAGGUAUAAAUCGAUAGUCCCUACUCAGGAGAACUCAGUCGCAGGACUACUCCUCGCAGUUUCAACAUCGUCACCGUCAUCAUUCAAUCGAAAUAGUGUUACGUGCAUUUUAUAUUUUUGUAAUUGUGUGUGACGUCUCCAGAAUGAAAAGACCAAGUACGAGUGUCCUACCUACGGAGAUUAUUAUUCACAUAUUUAAAUACGUUCCCAUACUAUGGAAGAUUAAACUGGAAAGAGUUUGCAGGCAAUGGCAGGAGGCGAGCAAAGCUUCCUGGAGCGGUAUUAGGCGAUUAAUUGUCGUUUCUCCCCGUCGGCGCAGAAACUCCCUUGGCAUAUAUGUCCAAAAUGAUGAAAUAUAUGUCUCAAGAUAUGACCAAAUAAUGAUGGAUGCCAUUCUAUCUCGUAUUGGGCACAACAUCACCCAUCUAUCAUUUGAGUUGUUUUCUGUCGAUCUGGAUAAACAUUUCUUCCUACUCAUCGCGAAACAUUGCACCAAUGUGGAGAACUUCAGCAGCAGCGGAUGGCAGAAAUCAGCAGAGCUGAAGCACUUACUUUCUUGCAAUACAAAAUUAAGAUCCAUUUACUUGGAUGGAGCAGAGGUGGCAUGCCGAUUUGGGAAAAGGCUUCGAAGGAACGAGUAGUGGAACUCAUAAAUGGCAGUUCCGAUUUGGAAGAUUUGAGACUUGACACAUGGUCGGAAGAAAUUCGUGAUGCCGUCGUAAAGAAGUCGAAAUUGAAGUCCCUGGGUUAUUGCGAAGAAUUGUUUCGCUAUGGUCGACGUCCGGAGUUAAUUAAUUUCCAGGGAAUGCGAUU
Long non-coding RNA from Diachasma alloeum, 835 nucleotides. RefSeq lists it as uncharacterized. The record is from RefSeq and is a predicted model, not a curated record. Lineage: Eukaryota; Metazoa; Arthropoda; Insecta; Hymenoptera; Braconidae. The transcript is spliced from 3 exons.